Molecule: ribosomal RNA, 446 nt
Filed under: uncultured bacterium
Lineage: Bacteria
Description: partial 16S ribosomal RNA
Rfam family: Bacterial small subunit ribosomal RNA
Source: RNAcentral
CCUACGGGUGGCAGCAGUCGAGAAUCAUUCACAAUGGGGGAAACCCUGAUGGUGCGACGCCGCGUGGGGGAAUGAAGGUCUUGGGAUUGUAAACUCCUGUAAUGUGGGAGAAAAUUAAAAAGAUAGUACCACAAGCGCAAGAGACGGCUAAGUCGGUGCCAGCAGCAGCGGGAAUACAGAGGUCGUAAGCGUUGUUCGGAAUCACUGGGCGUAAAGCGUGCGUAGGCUGUUGCGUAAGUCGAGUGUGAAAGGCGCGGGCUCAACCCCGGGACGGCACCUGAUACUGUGGGGCUAGAGUAAUGGAGGGGGAACCGGAAUUCUUGGUGUAGCAGUGAAAUGCGUAGAUAUCGGGAGGAACACUCGUGGCGAAGGCGGGUUACUGGACAUUAACUGACGCUGAGGCACGAAGGCCAGGGGAGCGAAAGGGAUUAGAUACCCCGGUAGUC